GACGAACGCUGGCGGCGUGCUUAACACAUGCAAGUCGAACGGAAAGGCCCCUUUGGUGGUACUCGAGUGGCGAACGGGUGCGUAACACGUGAGUAACCUUCCCUUGCCUACGGGAUAACUUCAAGAAACUGGGGCUAAUACCGGUUAGGAAUCCUUUCUGCAUGGGGGGGGUUGGAUAGCUUCAGGGGGUUUUGCUGUAGUGGCUGCUUAUCUGCUUGCUGCUGGGGUUAUGUCUUACCAAGGCGUUGUCGGGUAGCCGGACUGUGGAGGCGACCGGCGACCUUGAGACUGAGAUAAGGCCCAGGCUCCUACGGGAGGGAGAAGUGGGGAAUCUUGCAGGAGGGGCGGAAGGCGGAUGCAGCAGCGCCGCGGACGGGAUGACGGUCUUCGGGUUGUAAAACGCAUUCAGCAGGGGCGAAGCUUGUGGUGACGGUACCUGCAGAAGAAGCAACGGCUAACUACGUG
This 465-nucleotide ribosomal RNA is filed under the name uncultured bacterium. Its description in RNAcentral is "partial 16S ribosomal RNA". It matches the Rfam family "Bacterial small subunit ribosomal RNA", at positions 28 to 507 of the family's 1533-position model. The record is from RNAcentral.